This 312-nucleotide unclassified non-coding RNA is filed under the name air metagenome. RNAcentral's name for it is "partial contains small subunit ribosomal RNA, internal transcribed spacer 1, and 5.8S ribosomal RNA". The stretch from base 1 to 46 matches the Rfam family "Eukaryotic small subunit ribosomal RNA", at positions 1786 to 1831 of the family's 1831-position model. The record is from RNAcentral.
AAGUCGUAACAAGGUUUCCGUAGGUGAACCUGCGGAAGGAUCAUUAUUGAAUUCAACGCGGAGUUGUGCUGGCUCGUCAAGAGCAUGUGCACGCUUUGCAUAUAUUCAACCACCUGUGAAUCUAUUGUAGAUCUGAGAAUAGUUCUCAAGGAAACUUGGAUGUAGAGCUUGCUGGCUUCAGUUUGAGGUCGACUUGCUCUUGCUUCUCAGGUCUAUGUCUCUACAUACCCCGUAGCAUGUUAUAGAAUGUCAUAAAUGGCUUUAAAGCCUUUAAACUUUAUACAACUUUCAACAACGGAUCUCUUGGCUCUC